UCCUAGUUAACCUAGGCAGUCUUGCCAGAGUCCCCACCAUUACAUGUUGGCAACUGACAAUAAGGGUUGCGCUCGUUGCGGGACUUAACCCAACACCUCACGGCACGAGCUGACGACAGCCAUGCAGCACCUAUAUAGAGCCCCUUUCGGGACGCAACAUUUCUGCUGUUUUUCUCUACACUUCGAGCCUGGGUAAGGUUCUUCGCGUUGCAUCGAAUUAAACCACAUGCUCCACUGCUUGUGCGGGCCCCCGUCAAUUCUUUUGAGUUUCACCCUUGCGAGCGUACUCCCCAGGCGGCAUACUUAACGCGUUAGCUCCGAUACAGAAAGGGUUGAGCCUUCCUACAUCCAGUAUGCAUCGUUUACGGCUAGGACUAC
This 378-nucleotide unclassified non-coding RNA is filed under the name uncultured Chlamydiales bacterium. Its description in RNAcentral is "contains 16S-23S intergenic spacer region". The record is from RNAcentral. Lineage: Bacteria; Pseudomonadati; Chlamydiota; Chlamydiia; Chlamydiales.